UCCCGCCAUGUUGUGUAGGGUGAUUCGGGGGCGUUUGUAUGGAAACGUUUGGGCAAACCUGGGGACAGCGGGAGACCUCUGCGGGGAUUUGGGAACUUUUUUGUGGAAAUGUGUGGAAUUACGUGUUAUUUUGUUCGUUUGCUCGUUUGAAACAUUCUUUGUGGUGAUAAAGGACUUCUUUGGAAAACAUGGUGACCUUGUGUGGAAAACUGGUGAAUUGGUUACCGUUUGUAGAACUGCAUGUGGAAAUAUGCUAAUUUUCUGUGUGGAAAAUGGUGUGGUAAUUUUAGCAUGAAAUGGGAGCUUUUAUGUGACGUGUGUGUUUGUGCAACCUGUGGAAAAUUGUGUGGUGAUUGGGUAAAUGUCAGGAAAUAUGGUUAUUGUGUGUGAGGGAAAUGGUUUGGGGAUUUGGAAACCUUUUUUGAGGGCACAUGAUGGUUUUUGUGUGGAAAACGGGUCAUUUUGUGUGGUGACGGGAGACCUCUCCACGGGGACGUGCUGGGCCGGCCCGUACGGGUCGUCUCGUCCACGGCUCUGCGGUCGACGGUGCGCGCGAUUUCUCUCACGUGAAAGUGUCUAACGCGGGUCUGCCGCUCUCGCAGGCGCCUCCUCGUGCCCCGUCCUGGAGCCGGCAGUGACAGGAGCAGGACUUGGAAACAUCCAACGCUCCAUGGGUGAAGUUGGGAGCUGUGAAACCAAGUCCUGAGACCGUGGUGGGCAUGCAGGUGUCAUCUUACCAUCAUCGGUGUUGGGGUUAACGUUGUGAAUAUUUUAUCUUGCGUGACACUGUCUGAUGUGGGCCUCCGACACUUGUCCUUGUGCACUUGUCCUUGGAACCACCUUAUCGUCGAGGAGGUGCAACAUGACAAUCGGCACCAGAAGUCAUGGGGUAGAAGGGUCUUUGACACGUGGCAUGUCUGCAACCAGGUCUCUGUGCAGACUGUUCAGAAAUGGGCAUUUGGGGCCUGCGCCAGUCUCCUGGAAACAGCUGAGCCAGCCCUUGCAGCAG
Long non-coding RNA from Alligator mississippiensis (American alligator), 1009 nucleotides. RefSeq lists it as uncharacterized. The transcript has 2 exons. NCBI's taxonomy places the organism in Eukaryota, Metazoa, Chordata, Crocodylia, Alligatoridae. The record is from RefSeq and is a predicted model, not a curated record.